RNAcentral lists this ribosomal RNA (497 nucleotides) under uncultured bacterium. RNAcentral's name for it is "partial 16S ribosomal RNA". It matches the Rfam family "Bacterial small subunit ribosomal RNA", at positions 28 to 507 of the family's 1533-position model. The record is from RNAcentral.
GAUGAACGCUGGCGGCGUGCCUAAUACAUGCCAGUCGAGCGAACAGACGAGGAGCUUGCUCCUCUGACGUUAGCGGCGGACGGGUGAGUAACACGUGGAUAACCUACCUAUAAGACUGGGAUAACUUCGGGAAACCGGAGCUAAUACCGGAUAACAUGUUGAACCGCAUGGUUCAACAGUGAAAGACGGUUUUGCUGUCACUUAUAGAUGGAUCCGCGCCGCAUUAGCUAGUUGGUAAGGUAACGGCUUACCAAGGCAACGAUGCGUAGCCGACCUGAGAGGGUGAUCGGCCACACGGGAACUGAGACACGGUCCAGACUCCUACGGGAGGCAGCAGUAGGGAAUCUUCCGCAAUGGGCGAAAGCCUGACGGAGCAACGCCGCGUGAGUGAAGAAGGUCUUCGGAUCGUAAAACUCUGUUAUUAGGGAAGAACAAAUGUGUAAGUAACUAUGCACGUCUUGACGGUACCUAAUCAGAAAGCCACGGCUAACUACGUG